RNAcentral lists this ribosomal RNA (427 nucleotides) under uncultured bacterium. RNAcentral's name for it is "partial 16S ribosomal RNA". It matches the Rfam family "Bacterial small subunit ribosomal RNA", at positions 355 to 774 of the family's 1533-position model. The record is from RNAcentral.
UGGGGAAUAUUGGACAAUGGGCGAAAGCCUGAUCCAGCCAUGCCGCGUGUGUGAAGAAGGUCUUCGGAUUGUAAAGCACUUUAAGUUGGGAGGAAGGGCAUUAGCCUAAUACGUUAGUGUUUUGACGUUACCGACAGAAUAAGCACCGGCUAACUCUGUGCCAGCAGCCGCGGUAAUACAGAGGGUGCAAGCGUUAAUCGGAAUUACUGGGCGUAAAGCGCGCGUAGGUGGUUUGUGAAGUUGGAUGUGAAAUCCCCGGGCUCAACCUGGGAACUGCAUUCAAAACUGACUGACUAGAGUAUGGUAGAGGGUGGUGGAAUUUCCUGUGUAGCGGUGAAAUGCGUAGAUAUAGGAAGGAACACCAGUGGCGAAGGCGACCACCUGGACUAAUACUGACACUGAGGUGCGAAAGCGUGGGGAGCAAACA